CCUACGGGAGGCAGCAGUGGGGAAUAUUGGGCAAUGGGCGAAAGCCUGACCCAGCAACGCCGCGUGAGGGAAGAAGGUUCUCGGAUUGUAAACCUCUGUCCUUGGUGACGAAAAAAAUGACGGUAGCCAAGGAGGAAGCCCCGGCUAACUACGUGCCAGCAGCCGCGGUAAUACGUAGGGGGCAAGCGUUGUCCGGAAUGACUGGGCGUAAAGGGCGUGUAGGCGGCCGAUUAAGUCUGGAGUGAAAGUCCUGCUUUCAAGGUGGGAAUUGCUUUGGAGACUGGUUGGCUUGAGUGCGGAAGAGGCAAGUGGAAUUCCCAGUGUAGCGGUGAAAUGCGUAGAGAUUGGGAGGAACACCAGUGGCGAAGGCGACUUGCUGGGCCGUAACUGACGCUGAGGCGCGAAAGCGUGGGGAGCGAACAGGAUUAGAUACCCGAGUAGUC
Molecule: ribosomal RNA, 443 nt
Filed under: uncultured Christensenellaceae bacterium
Lineage: Bacteria; Bacillati; Bacillota; Clostridia; Christensenellales; Christensenellaceae
Description: bacterial SSU rRNA
Rfam family: Bacterial small subunit ribosomal RNA
Source: RNAcentral